UACGUAGGGUGCUAGCGUUACUCGGAAUCAUUGGGCGUAAAGGGUGUGUAGGUGGAAUAGUAAGUCAGAUGUGAAAGCCUUGGGCUUACCCCAAGAAGUGCAUUUGAUACUGCUAUUCUAGAGUUCGGGAGAGGGAGGCAGAAUUCCAGGUGUAGAGGUGAAAUCCGUAGAUAUCUGGAGGAAUACCGGAGGCGAAGGCGGCCUCCUGGACCGACACUGACACUGAGACACGAAAGCGUGGGUAGCAAACAGG
Molecule: ribosomal RNA, 253 nt
Filed under: uncultured bacterium
Lineage: Bacteria
Description: partial 16S ribosomal RNA
Rfam family: Bacterial small subunit ribosomal RNA
Source: RNAcentral